CAGCGCCGCGGUAAUACGGAGGGUGCAAGCGUUAAUCGGAAUUACUGGGCGUAAAGCGCACGCAGGCGGUCUGACAAGUCAGAUGUGAAAUCCCCGGGCUUAACCUGGGAACUGCAUUUGAAACUGUCAGGCUGGAGUCUUGUAGAGGGGGGUGGAAUUCCAGGUGUAGCGGUGAAAUGCGUAGAGAUCUGGAGGAAUACCGGUGGCGAAGGCGGCCCCCUGGACAAAGACUGACGCUCAGGUGCGAAAGCGUGGGGAGCAAACAGGAUUAGAUACCCGUGUAGUCCCUGUCUCUUAUACA
RNAcentral lists this ribosomal RNA (301 nucleotides) under uncultured bacterium. Its description in RNAcentral is "partial 16S ribosomal RNA". It matches the Rfam family "Bacterial small subunit ribosomal RNA", at positions 509 to 808 of the family's 1533-position model. The record is from RNAcentral.